Molecule: long non-coding RNA, 293 nt
Organism: Salvelinus fontinalis (brook trout)
Lineage: Eukaryota; Metazoa; Chordata; Actinopteri; Salmoniformes; Salmonidae
Exons: 4
Source: RefSeq, a predicted model, not a curated record
CUGAGGAGAAGGAAGUGACAAGUUCCAGCCAUCUCCUGUGAUUACCUUAAGUUAGCAUUCUUUGUUUUAGCCAAGGCCAGUGUGCGACUUUCAGAAAUCAGAACCAGCAGGAGUUGUGGUCGUAGCUGUGCAGUCUGAGAUUAGUUAAGAUAUAAAAGGCACAGACCAACCUUACUACUAGAGAACUAUCAACCAUGGCUGGACUUGAAAGUUCCCUCAAGUGUGUGCCUCUCAGAGGUUCUGGAACUGGUUCUUCAAAAGUUGUGUAUCCCGGGUACAGAGGAUCACUGGCA